GAGAGAGAGAGAGACAGCCACCGAGUCUAUAAGUGGAGUUAGCUGUUCAGCACACAAGCAACCCUCAGCACUGCAGAACGAACAGCACCUAUAUUCCAUUCAAUCCUCAAAUUUUCAUUAGAGGGGAUAUUUAUUUGGCAAGAGAAUCCAUUUGUGGGUCAGCCCUGGAGAUGGAAGCAGCCUUUCUGCUGAGAGUUGGAUCCCAUCGUCAGGAAUGAGACUCGGACCACAUGGUACAAAGAGACCGAACCCUGUAAAGUGAAUUGAGCACAUUAUGAACGGAAAGCGUUGGGAAGCCGAGGGAUUUUAAUCUGCUGUGAUAAAACAUGAGAGAACCACGGAUAUAAUCGGGGUUGAGCUGAAUUAAUCAAGAAGACUGGCUUUCGUUGUAUCAAACUGCUGGAAUGUGUCCAAAGGAAUGAACGGGGACGAGUGCUGACAGCACAAGGGGCGAGACAUUUCCAUGGUGUGCCGUCGUAUAAUUAAGGCAUCACAUCGCAUUUUC
Molecule: long non-coding RNA, 505 nt
Organism: Amblyraja radiata (thorny skate)
Lineage: Eukaryota; Metazoa; Chordata; Chondrichthyes; Rajiformes; Rajidae
Exons: 3
Source: RefSeq, a predicted model, not a curated record